UCAAACCCUUGCUUCCAAAUUUCAUUUUCUAUUUGCUCCCAAAUUUCACUUCACUUUCGCCCAAAACCUGCGUUCCAUUCAUUCUGAUCGUUGUUAGUGGAGCUAUUCAUUGUUGCAUUCUCUUCUCUGUGCUCGUCAGCCAAGGUUCAGCAAGUGUGGUUGCCGGCCAGGUUUAGGAAACCAGUGUGCAAGUCAUGUCUCCUUCAAGCCUUCAAGAAACCAGUACGUUCGCGGCCAGUAUGAUGCAAAGGCAACUAAACGAUCUAUUCUGAAUGGUUACGAGUCUCUUCUUCAAGAAAGUGCUGAAGAUAAAGUUUCUGAUUCUAUUCUUUAAGAUUGUGUAUAUGGUUGAAUAAAAUGUUAAGG
Molecule: small RNA, 366 nt
Filed under: Vigna angularis var. angularis
Lineage: Eukaryota; Viridiplantae; Streptophyta; Magnoliopsida; Fabales; Fabaceae
Description: Non-protein coding transcript
Source: RNAcentral